UUUAAAGCUUCAAACUGGGAUUAGAUACCCCACUAUUCUAAGUUAUAAAUUAAUAUACUAUAUACCUGAGUACUACGAGUCUAAAAACUUAAAACUCAAAGAGCUUGGCGGUACUUUAUACCUUUCAGGGGAACCUGUCUCGUAAUCGACAAUCCACGUUCUACCUUACCUUUUUUAGCCUUAAAUCAGUUUGUAUACCGUUGUCGUUCAGGUAACUUUUUAAAAAAUAGAAGUUGGCAAAAAAGACUUUAAUCUUAAACGUCAAAUCAAGGUGCAGCUUAUAAAGAGGAGAAGAUGGGUUACAAUUAAAAAUUAUAACUACGGAAUAAGAAUUUAAAUAUUUUUAUAAAGGAGGACUUGAAAGUAAAAACCUGUAGAUAAAGUUUUGAAUAUGGCUCUGAAGUGUGCACACACCGCCCGUCACCCUCUGCAGUCAA
This 437-nucleotide ribosomal RNA is filed under the name Euspira gilva. Its description in RNAcentral is "partial 12S ribosomal RNA". The stretch from base 68 to 437 matches the Rfam family "Microsporidia small subunit ribosomal RNA", at positions 752 to 1215 of the family's 1311-position model. Lineage: Eukaryota; Metazoa; Mollusca; Gastropoda; Littorinimorpha; Naticidae. The record is from RNAcentral.